CGGGACGGGUGAGUAAUGUCUGGGAAACUGCCUGAUGGAGGGGGAUAACUACUGGAAACGGUAGCUAAUACCGCAUAACGUCGCGAGACCAAAGAGGGGGACCUUCGGGCCUCUUGCCAUCGGAUGUGCCCAGAUGGGAUUAGCUAGUAGGUGGGGUAACGGCUCACCUAGGCGACGAUCCCUAGCUGGUCUGAGAGGAUGACCAGCCACACUGGAACUGAGACACGGUCCAG
RNAcentral lists this ribosomal RNA (233 nucleotides) under uncultured bacterium. Its description in RNAcentral is "partial 16S ribosomal RNA". It matches the Rfam family "Bacterial small subunit ribosomal RNA", at positions 100 to 334 of the family's 1533-position model. The record is from RNAcentral.